Molecule: long non-coding RNA, 460 nt
Filed under: Chloebia gouldiae (Gouldian finch)
Lineage: Eukaryota; Metazoa; Chordata; Aves; Passeriformes; Passeridae
Description: Erythrura gouldiae (Gouldian finch) lncRNA (ENSEGOG00005007946.1)
Source: RNAcentral
UUAUCUUUUGCCUUAUCUCUUUUUUUCUGCACACCAUAGGUUGUAAUUCCUUUUGGCGGGAUUUGUGUGUGUGUGUGUGUGUGCGUGUGUCUUCUGGGGUCUUUGCGGAUACCAGCCUUUCAGUGUUAGCGCUUUGCACGUCCUCAUUCGCAAACCAGGCAGCGUGGUGGGGAGGAAGCUGUAGCAGAAGUAAAACUUCGUAUACUCAGCCCAAUAUACUCGUUCCUAGCACUCCGAUCUACCUCCAGCACGCUCCUUGGAAAUGACUCCUACAACGCGCGUUGAGCGGAAAAGCGGAGGAAGAGGCGUUUCGGCUAAAGACGACGGAAGACCUCACCUCCUUACGCCUUCUCUUCCCCGAAAGCCCCUGUCGCCGUCUCCACACCGUCCGCAACCCUUUUCCUCGCACCUGGGUGGCUUUGGAAGAGGACGGGCUCCGUCAGCACUGCUUGAUGAAUGA